This is a long non-coding RNA of Microtus oregoni (creeping vole), 1300 nucleotides long. RefSeq lists it as uncharacterized. The record is from RefSeq and is a predicted model, not a curated record. The transcript has 3 exons. NCBI's taxonomy places the organism in Eukaryota, Metazoa, Chordata, Mammalia, Rodentia, Cricetidae.
ACUGUUCCUCGUCCCAGAAGACUUGCUGCUGCCGAUAGCAGUGGCCUGAGAGGGCUCUGUGACUCUUGGUGUUCUGUUCAAGGAAAGAGGGACUUGUGAUCCUUGUGUAGGGAGAGACAGUCUGUGUUUGUUGGGAACCGUCAUGCCAGGUGGAAGUGCGCUGGAGGGGGAAGGGGAACGGAUGGAGCUUCAGUGACUCCAGCAAGCACAAGUGGAGUUUGCAGCCGAGAAGCAGGAUGGGUGUCGGUGAGGGCAUAUCAGCCUGUGUGUGAAGGGGGGUGUCAGAAUGACUGGGGAGGAUUCUUGCUAAAGACAAACUUGAAUAUGAAGACUCUCAGUUGGGAGCUUCUCCAAGCUGAUGUCACAACAGGAAUUUGCUCAGACUGGAUCCUACCAGACAGAGGAAAACCAGAGCUUGGCCUGGCAGCGCCCAGGACUCAGAGGGGAUACCUCACGUAAAUGAGACAUCUCUUGUCCGAUAUAAGGCAUCAGACAAACCAGCUGCGCUGCGGGGAGAGGCUCCGCCAGACCUGCUGAGCAUCAUAGCUGUGCCUGCAGCGUGUGCAGAGCCAAGGCUGACAGACAGCAGGGAGGUGAGACGGAAUCAGCCAGCAUCAUCUUCCUUCAUCUUCAGGAGCUGUGGUUGCAACCGUGAGGAAAGUUGGGGUCCGGUUUUGCUGUACCCCUUAGAACAAGGAUCAAGAGAAGGCAGUCUCCAUGAAUAAGCCAGAGCUGCUUUGCUGCCUCCCCAUACCCGCUCCUCAAGCCCAGCACCGCUCUUGGCUGUUCUGGAUGAGUCCCCUCCAGUACCUCCACACCACAAGCCCAGUGCUUCCCCGAACCUAGCAUCUUCCGCCUUCAUCGGCCUUCAGUUUCUCUGUGGCGUCACUGUCACAGCCUAGCCCCGUCCUACCCAUCCCUGGAGAGCUAGGAGCAGACGACAACCACGCUGACACUUAAGAAAGUGGGUGUCACUCGAUACUUAGGUAUUUAUUAAGAUGUUAUGGACAUUUGAUCUUUUUCAGCCAAAGACAUUGGGGGUAACUAGCCCUAUGCGCAUGGUUUUCUCUGGCUAUGGGACCGAAUAAAUCUGAGGAGGAGGCUCUCUCUCUCUCCGUGUCUGUCUCUCUCUCUCUGUCUCUUUCUCUCAUGGUUGGAGCAGAAGCAAGACUUGUGGUUGGUCCUCAUCGCCCAUGGCAGAACAGCAGGGCAACGGCAGCUGGAUCAGAAGCAGUGUCUACCUUGUUCUGUAUUCAUGAUCUGUUUUUCCAUUGUGCCCCCUAAUAAAUUAUUGGCCAGA